RNAcentral lists this ribosomal RNA (111 nucleotides) under Escherichia coli. Its description in RNAcentral is "partial 23S ribosomal RNA". It matches the Rfam family "Bacterial large subunit ribosomal RNA", at positions 2810 to 2925 of the family's 2925-position model. RNAcentral also lists the same sequence under 5 other names. The record is from RNAcentral. Lineage: Bacteria; Pseudomonadati; Pseudomonadota; Gammaproteobacteria; Enterobacterales; Enterobacteriaceae.
CCUUUAAGGGUCCUGAAGGAACGUUGAAGACGACGACGUUGAUAGGCCGGGUGUGUAAGCGCAGCGAUGCGUUGAGCUAACCGGUACUAAUGAACCGUGAGGCUUAACCUU